Molecule: ribosomal RNA, 709 nt
Filed under: uncultured archaeon
Lineage: Archaea
Description: bacterial SSU rRNA
Rfam family: Archaeal small subunit ribosomal RNA
Source: RNAcentral
GCGGACGGCUCAGUAACANGUAGUCAACCUAACUCGUGGACGUGGAUAACCUCGGGAAACUGAGAAUAAACCACGAUAGAUCAUAGUGCCUGGAAUGGCUUAUGGUCCAAACAGUUUACUGCCAUGGGAUGGGACUGCGGCCUAUCAGCUUGUUGGUGAGGUAAUGGCCCACCAAGGCGAUUACAGGUACGGGCUCUGAGAGGAGAAGCCCGGAGAUGGGUACUGAGACACGGACCCAGGCCCUAUGGGGCGCAGCAGGCGAGAAACCUUAGCAAUGUGCGAAAGCACGACUGGGUCAGUCCGAGUGAUUCCUGAUAAAGGAGUCUUUUGCUUGUCCUAAAAGCACAGGUGAAUAAGGGGUGGGCAAGUCUGGUGUCAGCCGCCGCGGUAAUACCAGCACCUCGAGUGGUCAGGACGUUUAUUGGGCCUAAAGCAUCCGUAGCCGGCUUUGCAAGUCUUCGGUUAAAUCCACCUGCUCAACAGAUGGGCCGCUGGAGAUACUACAGAGCUAGGGAGUGGGAGAGGCAGACGGUAUUCAGUGGGUAGGGGUAAAAUCCUCUGAUCCAUUGAGGACCACCAGUGGCGAAGGCGGUCUGCCAGAACACGUUCGACGGUGAGGGAUGAAAGCUGGGGGAGCAAACCGGAUUAGAUACCCGGGUAGUCCCAGCUGUAAACGAUGCAAACUCGGUGAUGCAUUGGCUUAUGGCCA